CAACAUGGGGCAGGGGGCUGGAAGGUGCAGGGAGACCACCAGUGCUCCUGGUGGCACUGCUGAGAGUUAAACAGCAACAACGGGUCAAGAUCCGCGAGUGAAACCAACAGCCAGGUGGGAAGCUCCCUGUGCAGGGUGGGAACCACAACACGGUCUUGUCUUUCCUUCCAUUUGAAUGUGCAGCAUGCCUUCACCUGAACAGUGACAAGGACCAUCUGCAGUGACCUGGGAGGGUGACCCAAAUUGGAGCAGGACUUGAGCCAGAGGUUUGCUUCCCAGCCUGGAGUCUUCCUCCUCUUCCUCACCUGGGAAACCCGCCACAGCCUUUUCCCAGGGAGCUCGUCUGCCCUGGCUGUGAUGGUGGUGGGGAGCAGACCCCUCAGUGGUGGCCAGUGGCCCUGAAGUGCCACGAGGAGGCAUCAGUUCCAGGAGCUGUGUCCUGCCUGCCCAGCAGUUCCAUCGCCAGCUUGUCUCUCCCUCUCCUGCCUGAUGACUUCAACUCCCCCGUUUAUAAACUUAUGUGGCAUGUGGGAAUAUCUUUCUACCACUUGACUCCAAGAGCUGUGACCUUCAUCAUCAAACUUAUGAUCAAACCAUGGGUACGGCAUCACUGCCCAUAAUUGCUUCCUGAAUUAAAAUAUUUCCUCCAA
Molecule: long non-coding RNA, 650 nt
Organism: Pseudopipra pipra
Lineage: Eukaryota; Metazoa; Chordata; Aves; Passeriformes; Pipridae
Exons: 3
Source: RefSeq, a predicted model, not a curated record